AAAGCUAAAAACCAGACUUCAAAUGUUCCACAAAGUAAUAAAUAAUGAAAUUGCAAUACCAUCUCAGGAUAUUCUCAUAAAAAGCCAGUCCAAAACUAGGUCGACUAAUCAACAAGCAUACAGACAACUCCAAUGCAACAAAGACAGUUUAAAUUCUCAUUCUUCAGCCAAACAAUCAAAGAUUGGAAUAAAUUACCACCUGAAAUUUCAAACAAAACUUCUACAGACAACAUUAAGGAUGCACUAACUCAUGAAGUACUCCUUAAAACAUGUUCUCAAUAAAAUUAAUUUGCCUAUUGUUUUUAUCUUAAUUAAGAAAAAAUAUAGAAUAAAAAAUGUAAAAAUUAAAAGUUGAAUAAAAAUUGUAAAGUUUAAUAAAUAAAAGAAUAAUUGAAAUUAAGCAACCUCACUCAGGCGUGCGCCGGAAAGUAAUAGUCAAAAUGUUGAUGUCUUUCUGUACCUAAAGAAGAAGACCCUUUAUUUUAUAUUUGUAAUACUUAAAUUAAUAAUUAGAUAUGAUUAAGUGUGCAUAUUUUCGAAAGACUUAGUCUUUAAGUUUAAGUAAACCAAUUUUGUUCAUGGUAAUACGC
Molecule: long non-coding RNA, 590 nt
Filed under: Mytilus galloprovincialis (Mediterranean mussel)
Lineage: Eukaryota; Metazoa; Mollusca; Bivalvia; Mytilida; Mytilidae
Source: RNAcentral